AAUGGGUCAGCGACUUAUAUUCUGUAGCAAGGUUAACCGAAUAGGGGAGCCGAAGGGAAACCGAGUCUUAACUGGGCGUUAAGUUGCAGGGUAUAGACCCGAAACCCGGUGAUCUAGCCAUGGGCAGGUUGAAGGUUGGGUAACACUAACUGGAGGACCGAACCGACUAAUGUUGAAAAAUUAGCGGAUGACUUGUGGCUGGGGGUGAAAGGCCAAUCAAACCGGGAGAUAGCUGGUUCUCCCCGAAAGCUAUUUAGGUAGCGCCUCGUGAAUUCAUCUCCGGGGGUAGAGCACUGUUUCGGCAAGGGGGUCAUCCCGACUUACCAACCCGAUGCAAACUGCGAAUACCGGAGAAUGUUAUCACGGGAGACACACGGCGGGUGCUAACGUCCGUCGUGAAGAGGGAAACAACCCAGACCGCCAGCUAAGGUCCCAAAGUCAUGGUUAAGUGGGAAACGAUGUGGGAAGGCCCAGACAGCCAGGAUGUUGGCUUAGAAGCAGCCAUCAUUUAAAGAAAGCGUAAUAGCUCACUGGUCGAGUCGGCCUGCGCGGAAGAUGUAACGGGGCUAAACCAUGCACCGAAGCUGCGGCAGCGACGCUUAUGCGUUGUUGGGUAGGGGAGCGUUCUGUAAGC
This 634-nucleotide ribosomal RNA is filed under the name Escherichia coli. Its description in RNAcentral is "partial 23S ribosomal RNA". It matches the Rfam family "Bacterial large subunit ribosomal RNA", at positions 614 to 1248 of the family's 2925-position model. Lineage: Bacteria; Pseudomonadati; Pseudomonadota; Gammaproteobacteria; Enterobacterales; Enterobacteriaceae. The record is from RNAcentral.